GAUGAACGCUGGCGGCGUGCUUAACACAUGCAAGUCGAACGAAGCACUUUAUUACAAUUUCUUCGGAAUGACGAUUUAGUGACUGAGUGGCGGACGGGUGAGUAACGCGUGGGUAACCUGCCUUAUACAGGGGGAUAACAGUUAGAAAUGACUGCUAAUACCGCAUAAGCGCACAGGAUUGCAUGAUCUGGUGUGAAAAACUCCGGUGGUAUAAGAUGGACCCGCGUCUGAUUAGCUUGUUGGUGAGGUAACGGCCCACCAAGGCGACGAUCAGUAGCCGGCCUGAGAGGGUGAACGGCCACAUUGGGACUGAGACACGGCCCAAACUCCUACGGGAGGCAGCAGUGGGGAAUAUUGCACAAUGGGGGAAACCCUGAUGCAGCGACGCCGCGUGAGUGAAGAAGUAUUUCGGUAUGUAAAGCUCUAUCAGCAGGGAAGAAAAAAAUAGACGGUACCUGACUAAGAAGCCCCGGCUAACUACGUGCCAGCAGCCG
RNAcentral lists this ribosomal RNA (494 nucleotides) under uncultured bacterium. RNAcentral's name for it is "bacterial SSU rRNA". It matches the Rfam family "Bacterial small subunit ribosomal RNA", at positions 28 to 517 of the family's 1533-position model. The record is from RNAcentral.